This 421-nucleotide ribosomal RNA is filed under the name uncultured bacterium. Its description in RNAcentral is "bacterial SSU rRNA". It matches the Rfam family "Bacterial small subunit ribosomal RNA", at positions 360 to 773 of the family's 1533-position model. The record is from RNAcentral.
AAUCUUGCGCAAUGGGCGAAAGCCUGACGCAGCGACGCCGCGUGGGUGAUGAAGGCCUUCGGGUUGUAAAGCACUGUGGAGCGGGACGAAAGCCGGUGGAUGAAUAAGCCAUCGGGGUGACGGUACCGAUUUAGCAAGCACCGGCUAACUCGGUGCCAGCAGCCGCGGUAAUACAGAGGGUGCAAACGUUGCUCGGAAUUACUGGGCGUAAAGCGCGUGUAGGUGGUUUCGCAAGUCAGGUGUGAAAGCCCGAGGCUCAACCUCGGAAGUGCACUUGAUACUACGGAGCUGGAGUCUUGGAGAGGAGAGCGGAAUUCCCGGUGUAGAGGUGAAAUUCGUAGAUAUCGGGAGGAACACCAGUGGCGAAGGCGGCUCUCUGGACAAGUACUGACACUGAGACGCGAAAGCAUGGGGAGCAAAC